MicroRNA precursor from Caenorhabditis elegans, 99 nucleotides. NCBI's taxonomy places the organism in Eukaryota, Metazoa, Nematoda, Chromadorea, Rhabditida, Rhabditidae. The record is from Ensembl.
UACACUGUGGAUCCGGUGAGGUAGUAGGUUGUAUAGUUUGGAAUAUUACCACCGGUGAACUAUGCAAUUUUCUACCUUACCGGAGACAGAACUCUUCGA